CUCUCCCUCCCCCGGCCCUCCUGCUGAUGAGAGACAGGAGCGAUGGAUGGUCUGAGUUAGCGGGGUCCCGGCACCACCCAGCGCAAAGGCACUGCACUCACGCACGCCAUGCACAUGCUGGCUCACCUCCUCCAUCCCAUGCCUCCCCUGUCUCCAGCAUUCCCUCUGGAAUACAUCAGCACUGUUGCCUUUGAGGCUGGCCUGCUUGAAUGCACACCUGAGCUCCGGAUUCACAGUGGAGGAAGCCAGAUGCCAUGUCAUGAGGGUGCUCAAGCAACUUUUUGGAGAUGUAUGUAUGGAGAGAAACUGAGGCCUCCUGCCAACAGCCAGCACUAACUUGGCAAGCAUGUUUGAGAGCCACCUGGGAAGUGGAGCCUUCAGCCCCAGUUAAGCCUUCAGAUGAGACUGCAGUCCUGGCCACCAUCUGGACUGCAACUUCACAAGAGCUCCUAAGCCAGAGCCAUGCAGAUGGAUUCUUGGCCCCCAGAAAUUGUGCCACUACAUUUUGGGAAAUUUAUUAUGCAGCCAUAGAUUACCAAUACACUCACUAUUUCUUUUUUCUGAUGCCAUACUAUAUUUUUGUUUGCUGAUUUUUUUCCUCCGUCUCUCCCACUAGGCAUUAAGUUCCAUAAGGGCAGUGACUGUGUCUGCGUGGUUCAUCCAUGUGUCCCCACAGCCUGGCAUAUGGAGCUCACUAAUAACUCAGGCAUGGGUAAAUGGAGAUCACUCAUUUUAGGCUCAGCCUAAUAAAUCUCCCUCCUAUGGCUCUCUCUAGAGAGAGCAGUAAAAUUUGCCCAACUUCUUUUUCUGUCUUUCUGUAUUUGAUUUCUUACACUUUCUGUGGCUUUCUGCUUAGUUUUAUUCCUGGCUGCCUGACAGAGGGUGGGUUUAUGCAGAUAAAGAGGCACCUGUGGGAGGAAGGGCUCUGUGUGCUUUCUCCUUUAAUAAGCUGUGUCUAAAAAAAAAAAAAAAAAAAAAAUAGCUCCCCUUUGCAAAAGGGACGAAAAUAGCCAGGAUUUUCCAGGAUUUUAAUGGAGAUGGGAGGCGGGUACUGGGAGGCUGAAGACUGAGGCAGCCCUCUUCUCUCUGAGCAGCCCCAGUCUGAUCACUGAGCAACCCCGGUCUGAUCACUUACCCACACACCCACACUUGAAUUAUACUCACUUAUUCAUUUAUCCAUCUUUCCACCAAGUCAAUUGUUAAUUAAUUCCCUAUUUAUUAUUUGCUUAUCUAUUUAUACAUUCAUUAUCUAUCCUAUAUUUUUUACUUAUGAAUUAAUCCAUUUAUCCAUCCAUGCACUCAGCUAUUCAUCCAUCCAUCCACUCUCCAUCUAUCCACCCAUCUAUACAUUUAUCCAUCACUGAUCCAUUCACCCACCAUCCACCCAUCUUUCCAUUCAUCCACCCAUUCUUUCAUGCAUCCAUCUAUCCAUCCACCAACCCAUCCAUCUACCCAUCUAUCCACAUAUCCAUCAUCCAUCCAUUCACCCAUUCAUCCACCAUCCAUUUGUCAUCCAUCUAUCUAUCCAUCCAUCCAUGCAUCCAUCCAUCCAUCCACUCAUCCAUUUAUCCACUCAUCUAUCCACUUAUCCAUCAUCCAUUCAUUCACCCAUUUAUCCACCUAUCCUUCCAUCCACCCAUCUAUCCACUUAUCCAUCAUCCAUUCACCCAUCCUGCAUUCAUCCAUUAUCCAUUGAUAUACUUUUCAUUUAAUCCGAACACCCUAAUGCCUUUAUGUUAAUUAAUGAAUUUAUUCACUUAACCAUGUGUCUAUUUAUUAAGUAUUUUAAUUUAUUAAUUUACUAAGCUUUCAGUUCUAUUCAGACCCCCGAGUAUUUACAAGUGCUACUACUUUGUGCCAAGUGCUAUGUUAGGCUCUGGAAUUAAGAGGUGAAGGAGACAGACCUGGUUCCUACCUGUGUGCGGUUCACCCCACUGAUUUCUGGAAUUCAGGUGAGGAGCUGUUCAUGGGAGAUCCUGAAGUCAGCACAAAAUUUCUGCUCUCUAGGGACUCAUGAUGUGACAGAGCUGGAUCGUGACACCUGGUGCUGGUUCUACCACUGGAAUCCUUAACUUCUGGAUGGGCCUCAGUUUUCUUUUCUGGGAAAUGGGGACAAUGUUGGGAAAAUCUUCUUCUUCUUCUUCUUUUUUUUUUUUUUUUUUUUAACAGAGUCUCACUCUAUCGCCAGGCUGGAGUGGUGCAGUGGCAAGAUCUCGGCUCACUACAGUCUCCACCUCCAGGGUUCAAGCCAUUCUCUUGCCUCAGCCUCCCAAGUAGCUGGGACUACAGUUACACACCACCACAUCCAGCUAAUUUUUGUAUUUUUAGUAGAGAUGGGGUUUCACCAUGUUGCCCAGGAUGGUCUCGAUCUCCUGACCUCAUGAUCUGCCCACCUUGGCCUCCCAAAGUGCUGGGAUUACAGGCGUGAGCCACCGCACCCAGCUGAUAAAACCAUCUUGAAUGACCUUCAUCACUGUGAACAGUGAUGCAGUGGCUUUAUAAACUCUAGAAUGUGCUACA
Molecule: long non-coding RNA, 2520 nt
Filed under: Homo sapiens (human)
Lineage: Eukaryota; Metazoa; Chordata; Mammalia; Primates; Hominidae
Description: HSALNT0405403
Source: RNAcentral